UCCGCCAGAGAACUACAAGUGAAAAACUUAAAACUCAAAGGACUUGACGGUGUCCCAUAUCGACCUAGAGGAGCCUGUCCUAUAAUCGAUACCCCCCGUUUCACCUAACCUCAACUAGCAAAAUAUCAGCCUAUAUACCGCCGUCGACAGUUUACCCUAUGAAGGCCCAACAGUAAACACAAUAGCCCUAAAACGCUAACACGUCAGGUCAAGGUGUAGCAAAUGUUGAGGGAGAGAUUGGCUACAUUUUUUAUAAUAAAAAACACGAAUUGCACUAUGAAACACUGCAUGAAGGUGAAUUUAGUAGUAAAACAGAUAAGAGUGUCUGUUUUAACAACGCUCUGGGACGCGUACACACCGCCC
Molecule: ribosomal RNA, 363 nt
Filed under: Podarcis ionicus (Corfu wall lizard)
Lineage: Eukaryota; Metazoa; Chordata; Lepidosauria; Squamata; Lacertidae
Description: partial 12S ribosomal RNA
Rfam family: Bacterial small subunit ribosomal RNA
Source: RNAcentral